CCUACGGGUCGCUGCAGUGGGGAAUAUUGGACAAUGGGCGAAAGCCUGAUCCAGCCAUGCCGCGUGUGUGAAGAAGGCCUUCGGGUUGUAAAGCACUUUCAGUGGGGAAGAAAGCCUUGGGGCUAAUACCCUCGAGGAAGGACAUCACCCACAGAAGAAGCACCGGCUAACUCCGUGCCAGCAGCCGCGGUAAUACGGAGGGUGCGAGCGUUAAUCGGAAUUACUGGGCGUAAAGCGCGCGUAGGCGGUCUGAUAAGCCGGUUGUGAAAGCCCCGGGCUCAACCUGGGAACGGCAUCCGGAACUGUCAGGCUAGAGUGCAGGAGAGGAAGGUAGAAUUCCCGGUGUAGCGGUGAAAUGCGUAGAGAUCGGGAGGAAUACCAGUGGCGAAGGCGGCCUUCUGGACUGACACUGACGCUGAGGUGCGAAAGCGUGGGUAGCAAACAGGAUUAGAUACCCUGGUAGUC
RNAcentral lists this ribosomal RNA (465 nucleotides) under Vreelandella stevensii. RNAcentral's name for it is "partial 16S ribosomal RNA". It matches the Rfam family "Bacterial small subunit ribosomal RNA", at positions 338 to 795 of the family's 1533-position model. The record is from RNAcentral. Lineage: Bacteria; Pseudomonadati; Pseudomonadota; Gammaproteobacteria; Oceanospirillales; Halomonadaceae.